AAUUCAAAAAACCACCUCUUCCAUUUCGUAAUUUCAUUACACAAUUUCAAAGGCAAUCCCAGAAAUACUCAUUACUGAAUUUUCCGGGAAUUGGAGUUUGGUAGAUUCGAAAAAAGAAAAACCAAAUCGGGGAAGUUGGGAAGAAAGAGGGAGGAAUGAAUACUGGGUUGGAUCCAUCGAUGACGUUGCUGGCAGCAAGCGGCGGCGACACCGUGAAGCUCUUUGAUGUGUCGGACAAGUCCGCCGAUCCCUUGGUUUUAAGCUACACUCCUUCUCCUGGUUCCCAUGUCAAUUCCCUCAAGUGGAAUCACACCAAUAUGGUGGUGGCUAGUGCUGGAGAUGAUAAGAAGAUAUCGUUGUGGAAUAAGAAUGGGAAGAGCAUAGGCACCAUUCCGGUGGCCGGGACCGACAGCGGAGAUGGCAUUGAGGAGUAUAUAUUGGCUCUCAGCUUCGGUAACAAGGUUUCUAGAUACAUUUGUUCCGGUGGAACCGGUCAGGUUGUAAGAAUAUGGGAUUUGCAGAGGAAGCGGUGUAUCAAAUGGUUGAGGGGUCACUCUAGUACAAUUACGGGUGCAAUGUACAAUUGCAAAGAUGAGCACUUGGCUUCCAUCAGUCUUAAUGGGAACCUCAUACUUCACAACCUUGCAUCUGGUACAAGGACUACUGAACUCAAGGACCCCAAUCAACAGGUACUAAGAGUGCUUGAUUAUUCCCGGAUUAGUCGACACCUUCUUGUGACAGCAGGUGAUGACGGGUCUGUACAUUUGUGGGACACGACCGCUCGUAGCCCAAAGGUUUCUUGGCUGAAGCAGCAUUCUGCACCAGCUGCUGGUAUCAGUUUCUCUCCAUCUAAUGACAAGAUGAUAGCUACCGUUGGGCUUGAUAAGAAGUUGUAUACUUACGACUCAGGGUCGAGACAACCUUCACAUUGUAUUUCCUAUAAAGCACCUUUCUCUUCAUUGGCAUUUAGAGAUGAUGGUUGGGUAUUGGCAGCUGGAACAAGCAGUGGUGAUGUGGUGUUCUACGAUGUCCGUGGUAAACCAGAGCCUUUCACUGGUAUUCGUGCUUAUAGUAGUUCAGAGGCUGUUACAAGUCUAUGCUGGCAAAGGUCAAAACCUGUCGUUGUAAACGAAAGCAAUUGUACUGUUGAGACUGCUCUUUUAGGAGAUGCUGUUGAAGAUUCAAUCCUUAUGCCUGACCAACUUCCUUCUGUGACUUCAUCAAGUCUUCCUCCAUCUAUGGCGGUAUCUAGUUCUCGAAAUCCAGGCCAUUCAAGUUCAUCUACCGAGACAUCAGCAGCUGGCAAUGGAUUAACAUCAAGCACACUUUGUGUAUCUACGACAGAGGAUACACCACAACGAGACCAUUUGUGGCCUGGUAGAACAUUGCGUAGGUUGCAUCCUCCUCGAUCUACUUAUAACUUCAAGGAUGAUAUGGAGGUGUUCUCCCCUCUUGUCGAUGUUCAUCCAAUCACACCUACACUUGACAAGCUGUGGGAUGAUGACAAAUCAAAGAAGGAUAAUUUGUUUCCAGAUAAGAAACCUUCGUCACUUUUAUUUCCUUCGUCCGGUGGGAGAUUCUCUUUUGCAGAAGAUGGGGCCACUGAUCAUCCAAUUUUUGACUGGAAAACCAGUUCAACAUCUAAACAGGAUGACAUAAAAUCGUCGUUUGCACUAUUAGAAUCAACCCCUACUCCAUCUUCCAAGAGUGAAAACUCAUCCAUCACCCCUCCAGAAGCUUGGGGUGGUGAGAGAUUUUCUGAGAAGUUUCGCCAGCCAACCUCUUUUCUAUCUCGCGUUGGGAUGUCAGCUCAGACAUCAGGAUCAACUUUAUCUGGACUGCCCGAUAUGUCUUUAACAGAAAACUUGCAAAGUUUGCGCACCAAAGGUUUGUCUUCCAUUCAGGAGACUUCGUUUGGAUAUCCUGAACAUAUUUCCUCGAGUGCAAUGCCUAUGUCCCCUGGUAACAAAGGCCUCUUGGGACAGCCUAACCUUGAUGCACCAAUGUCUUUGACCUUUUCUCGGAGAUUCUCUACUUAUGCAGAGAGGAUAAGCACUACAUCUAACUUCAAUGAUCGAACAUCCCUAGCAGUGAGUUCACCAAAAACAAAGAAAACAGGAGCCGAAGGAAGAGAAGAAUUGUUGAAUAGCUUCUUGUCAAAGUCAGAUGCAUCAACUGCCACAGAAUUAGGGGCUCUUCCAGCAAUUAAUGUAUGGGUGACAGAUUUGUUGGAUAAGUCGUCUUCUUUGGUUUGGGAGGAAGCUUGCAUCUCCAAAAUGCGCCCCAACAAGAUGCACAGCAGGGAAGCUCCUUUACAUUUCAGAUUUUUCAACGGACUCUAGAAGAAACUCUGGAUUCUUUUCAGAAAUCUAUACACGAAGAUAUGAGGAACCUUCAUAUAGAAAUUUUAAGGCAAUUUCAUAUGCAAGAGAUGGAAAUGUCAAAUGUGAUGAGGACAAUGCUGGAAAACCAAGCUGAGCUGAUGAAGGAAGUUAAGUCUCUCCGGAAAGAAAACCAGCAGCUCCGGCAAUUGCUUUGAGCAUUGGUGACGAUUGUUAUUGUUUUGAAUUUUUUUUUUUUUUUUGGUGGAUUUGGAAUAUGCAUGUUGUUUCAGUGUCAUGAUUUGCUCUCCAUCAGUCGGUGUUCGUUAUAUAGGUAGACUAGAAUUGCUUCUCUUGGCCGGGGGCGGGGACUAAAGAAAAGGUAGAAAUGCAAGUGCAAUAGGAAGUAGAGUUUAUGAGCAUAUGUACAGAAUGAUCAUUUCCAGCUAAUGAACGAAGGCUUUGAUUCGGGUGAAAUUUACAAGCAUUACGAUGUUUCAGCUUUUA
RNA transcript from Pyrus x bretschneideri (Chinese white pear), 2828 nucleotides. It is a transcript of the gene named protein NEDD1, with no coding region annotated. The record is from RefSeq and is a predicted model, not a curated record. The transcript is spliced from 10 exons. NCBI's taxonomy places the organism in Eukaryota, Viridiplantae, Streptophyta, Magnoliopsida, Rosales, Rosaceae.